UUGUUUUAGAGGUCUGAUGGCUAGCUGGAAUUAACCCUUUAAAUGCUAAACUAGGCCAGAGGGUAAUGCUCCAUCUGACUGGCUGCAUAACACAGGUCACUACACUCAGAGCAAAGCAAACCCAAGGCAAUACAACUUCAAUUCGUGGCUGUAUCAGCUGCAAUCUAUGCAGCUCGUUCAUCCCCUCAAUGACCCAAGGCCAGUGCCAUCACUACCAUGUCAGCUUAUUGCCCUGCCAGCACUGGAAAGGCAGAAAGCCCUGUGAGAAAUGGCUACUUGCUGGAUGCAAUGAGUGAUCAGAGGGAAAGCAGUGAGGGGAAAGGGCCUCAGAGUGCAGGGUCUGGCUCUUGAGCUACUGAAGUUAGUUUGUGUUAGAUUCCAGAACCAGCGAUGCUCCUGGCACUCCCUGCACAAAACGGGGUGUGCCUUCUCUCUCCAUGAAAACUUGGGAAUUGUGUUGUGUCAGUCUAGCACAGCCUCAAGUACCACCCAAACAGCUUCAGCUUUGUUUCUAUGCUGCUGUCCUACUAUGUGCUAUGCCCUGUAACAGCUUUACUGCACAAAGGGGCAGCAGCUUUCUUUUUCCUAAGCAAAACCACUACUUACUGCUGGCACGAACACAACCCACCACGUAUAUUAGCUACGGCGGAUUUUUUAACACAGCUGAAAGACUAACACAGUCUCACCCUUGGCCUCUUCCAGCUUUUGUCUUCCCACCUCAGUUUUGUCUACCCUGAAUUCUUUAAGACUUGCGAUACAAACGUUGCACUGAUCCAUGCGAUCAGAGGUUGCAGAUCUAGCCAGAGUUCAGUCUAUAAAGCCAGCAACUUCAUGUUUUCCCUCUGUAGGAGUAAAAUAACGUUCCCACACUCUGAUCAAAACCUUUGCUCUGCACAGAUUUAAUUCAUUACUUAUGAAUCUCUGGCCAACGCCGCUGGUCGUUUCAGUGGCUCUCUACUUGCUGUCGCCUCCCGAGGACAGGGAACCCCAGGGAACCUUCUUCUUACCAUGUAGUCAAGUAGCUUUGAAGGGAUCCUGACUAAUGGCUUCACCCACUUGCUAUGUUAACAGUCCUCUUGCAGAAAAUCACCCAGGUAGCAAUAAUGAGCUGCCCUUUACAACUGCUUUACAGAGGGUUGGUCAGGGGCCAAGAUAUUUUCCAAUGGAAACUCUUCUCCCAGGGAAUCACCCUUCAUCGUAUUUCACACGAGUGCUUUGUUUGGUUUUAGGAAACAAGAGAAGAUUUCUUUUUAAUUGUGCUAUACUUAGGUGCAGGGCAGUUUCGUGACACAAAUCACUGAGGAGUCACUGUGUGGCCUGCAGGGAUCAUUUAUGAGGCCGGAAUGGCAGCAGCUCUGCUAACACCUCAAAGGAAAGCCCAAUAUUCCAAGCUUAUGCAGGAUUGCCUGGACCACCAUGCAGGACUUGGGUAGGCGCUGCCUCUUUGCUGUGUCUGCACUGUGCCUAAGCUAUGAGACCCCACAGGUGGUAAAGGAAUACAAAACACUAAAGGUACCAGUUGAUUGCUCUUUCCGUAACC
RNAcentral lists this long non-coding RNA (1540 nucleotides) under Strigops habroptila (Kakapo). RNAcentral describes it as "lncRNA (ENSSHBG00005020004.1)". The record is from RNAcentral. Lineage: Eukaryota; Metazoa; Chordata; Aves; Psittaciformes; Psittacidae.